UCUCAGUGGCUCAGUGGUAGAGAAUCUGCCUGCAAUGCAGGAGACUCAGGUUCGAUCCCUGGGUUGGGAA
Molecule: transfer RNA, 70 nt
Filed under: Bos taurus (domestic cattle)
Lineage: Eukaryota; Metazoa; Chordata; Mammalia; Artiodactyla; Bovidae
Also listed under: 5 other names
Rfam family: tRNA
About the family: Transfer RNA (tRNA) molecules are approximately 80 nucleotides in length.
Source: Rfam by way of RNAcentral